RNAcentral lists this long non-coding RNA (1047 nucleotides) under Elaeis guineensis (African oil palm). Its description in RNAcentral is "long non-coding RNA (EGUI_LNC005405)". Lineage: Eukaryota; Viridiplantae; Streptophyta; Magnoliopsida; Arecales; Arecaceae. The record is from RNAcentral.
GCUGCAACUAACACCUACUCAUUGCUUUUGGGUGCUAUAGAUGUCAGCACAUGUGGGCUUCGACGGGAAGAAUUGCCUCGAGCUCUCCAGCGGCAUCAUCCAAAAAUUUGGAUUGGGAACUUCAACUGCAAUUUAGGACCUGCUUAAAUGAGAAGAUGUGUUCGGGGCUUCCUCUAGGACCUAGGAUUUAUUAUGAAGUCAUAAUCUAAUUAUAGAAUCUCAUCUAGUUAAGGUGCUAGGAACCUAUCUAAUGGAUAAGAUUACAAUUGAGGAUCUGGUUUCAUAGUGGGGUAGUGCUUAUGGGUGCAAUUUCACCACCCAUCCUAGAAGAAGGCCCUUGAGCUAGGUGGAUUCCUAAUCCGUUCUUAGGGUUCCAUGCAUACAUGGCAAAAGAAAAGAAAACGAAAAGAAGAGAGGCAGAGAAUAGGAAGAGGAGAGAGAUGUAGGCGGUUAAUGCAUUUUUGAAGCUCCAUUUUUUCUUUCUUGAUGAGUGGCUAGUGAUGAUAGGGUAGAGGAGGGUGAUGAGAAAAAUGGCCAGGAUUUGAAGAGGUUGAAGAGAGUUAGAGUUUGCCGAAUCCUUGGGACUUUUUGCAUUCUAGCAUAAUUUAAAAUUUUUUUCUUAUUAUUUUUUAUUAUUCUUUGGAAGAAGAGAGGGGAUAUUUAUAGGAAAAUGAGAGGGAUAAUAAUUAAGGUGACACAAAUAGGAUGGGAGACUAUAUUUUCCUGGUUGUUAGCAUCUGAUUGAAAUUUUCAUUGUAUGGUUUUAUUAGGUGGAGCCGGGGAGUAGUAGUGGUCUCCACCUUCCUUCCGUGUCAAUUCCUUAGGUAUAUAUUGCUUAUAUGGUUAUUUGUCUUUUUAUGUAUGUAUUAAGUAACUCACUCUACCAUAUAGACUAAUUUGUCUCUCCUUUUUCUUUUUUUUCCUUUCUUUUUCUGAUUAUUAUUAUUCUUAUUCAGCCCUCCUGGGAAGAUCCUUGGCCUGAGCGUGCCCGAUCCACCGAACAAAAUUCCCCUGAGCCAUAAAAGAGGCAUUUCGAUGGCUGAUGAU